UACGUAGGGUGCAAGCGUUAAUCGGAAUUACUGGGCGUAAAGCGUGCGCAGGCGGUUUUUUAAGUCAGAUGUGAAAUCCCCGGGCUUAACCUGGGAACUGCGUUUGAAACUACAAGGCUAGAGUGUGGCAGAGGGGGGUGGAAUUCCGCGUGUAGCAGUGAAAUGCGUAGAGAUGUGGAGGAACACCGAUGGCGAAGGCAGCCCCCUGGGUUAACACUGACGCUCAGGCACGAAAGCGUGGGGAGCAAACAGG
RNAcentral lists this ribosomal RNA (253 nucleotides) under uncultured bacterium. RNAcentral's name for it is "partial 16S ribosomal RNA". It matches the Rfam family "Bacterial small subunit ribosomal RNA", at positions 524 to 776 of the family's 1533-position model. The record is from RNAcentral.